Molecule: unclassified non-coding RNA, 244 nt
Filed under: uncultured fungus
Lineage: Eukaryota; Fungi
Also listed under: 1 other name
Description: sequence contains ITS2
Rfam family: 5.8S ribosomal RNA (bases 1-52)
Source: RNAcentral
AACGCACAUUGCGCCCGCCAGUAUUCUGGCGGGCAUGCCUGUUCGAGCGUCAUUUCAACCCUCAAGCCCAGCUUGGUGUUGGGAGCUGUUUUAGUUAACACUCCCCAAAUUGAUUGGCGGUCACGUCGAGCUUCCAUAGCGUAGUAAUUUACACAUCGUUACUGGUAAUCGACGCGGCCACGCCGUUAAACCCCAACUUCUGAAUGUUGACCUCGGAUCAGGUAGGAAUACCCGCUGAACUUAA